GUGGGGAAUCUUGCGCAAUGGGCGAAAGCCUGACGCAGCCAUGCCGCGUGAAUGAUGAAGGUCUUAGGAUUGUAAAAUUCUUUCACCGGGGACGAUAAUGACGGUACCCGGAGAAGAAGCUCCGGCUAACUUCGUGCCAGCAGCCGCGGUAAUACGAAGGGGGCUAGCGUUGCUCGGAAUUACUGGGCGUAAAGGGCGCGUAGGCGGACAGCUUAGUCAGAGGUGAAAGCCCAGGGCUCAACCUUGGAAUUGCCUUUGAUACUGGCUGUCUUGAGUUUGGGAGAUGUGCGUGGAACUCCGAGUGUAGAGGUGAAAUUCGUAGAUAUUCGGAAGAACACCAGUGGCGAAGGCGACUCACUGGCCCAAUACUGACGCUGAGGCGCGAAAGCGUGGGGAGCAAACAGGAUUAGAAACCCUGGUAGUCC
RNAcentral lists this ribosomal RNA (425 nucleotides) under uncultured bacterium. RNAcentral's name for it is "partial 16S ribosomal RNA". It matches the Rfam family "Bacterial small subunit ribosomal RNA", at positions 354 to 796 of the family's 1533-position model. The record is from RNAcentral.